This 2638-nucleotide long non-coding RNA is filed under the name Linum usitatissimum (flax). RNAcentral describes it as "long non-coding RNA (LUSI_LNC004821)". Lineage: Eukaryota; Viridiplantae; Streptophyta; Magnoliopsida; Malpighiales; Linaceae. The record is from RNAcentral.
GAUAGCAGAUUUUCCAAGAACACGCCAGCAUCCUUUGGUAUCAUAACAACAGGUAUGCCUAUAUCUAAAUCAGUUUCAUCUGCGUCACAGACCAUCUCAUAAAGCUCUGAAGAAACAAGAGGAGAGCAUCAGACAAACAAAGUUAAAUAGUGAUCAACAAGUACUGCAGAAAUCACAUCCCCUAUUCUGUAUUAUGAAUCAACAUGUACUGGUGUACCACUCACCAUUUUCGUCAUUUACGAUAAGAACGGCAGAAGCGCCAGCUGCCUCUGCAUUAAUAGCUUUUGCAGUAAACGUGCAAUUGCCUCGAUUAACCAAUAUGACAUCUCCUGCAAGCUAAUAAUUUUAACAGAAAUCGGUGUUAUGGAUAACUUUAUAGGAUAAAAUGGCAGUACCAAUAGAGAAAACGAAAGAUAUUAUAUAUAUAUAUAUAUAUAUAUAUAUUCAAAGGAAAAACCUUGUUCUUUGGUGUAGUACAACAAUUUUGGGGAUCUGAAAGAGUGAGAUGUGUUUUCCUAGCAUUCUUCUUAUCUGAUCCAACAGUGGCGCCAAAUCUUGCCCCAACACCACCAAAUUCAGCACCCUCUUGCCCGCUCACCGACGCAAGCACUUUAACCUAACAAAACGAAUCGCAUGAUCAGCAUUCAGCAGCUAAAUCACACUAUACAAAAAGAGUUGCUGCUCAAAAAGAGGCUUCAAAAUCUAAAGGAUCUACAACUUCUUCCUAGAAACCAUUCUACCAAUCUAAAGUAAACGCAUUUUGCAGAAACCUAAGAAUCCAGAAAUGCAAUGACAGGAACCAACUCAAAAAUGAAGAAUUUAAACCUUAUUAAUGUUCUUAGUUCACCCUCUGAAUUUAUCGAAAACCUAAAAACAACUACAAAACUCAACUGCGAACUACAUAGACAAAAUUGAUCCUUCCAAAUAUGACAGAUUCAAAGAGAAACCCGAUAAAUAAAGAAUAACUACGAGGUGAAAGCACAAGAUCAUGAAGUAAGAAGUAAUCAGACCUUCAACCAUUUCCGCUAGCUAACUCCCUUAAAUGAAUCAGACCGACAAAGUGCAAAAAAUGAACCGACAAAAAGCUAGAGCAACCACAUCCCGGUUGGGCAAGACUCGAGAAAGAAUCAAAAGCAGCAUUACUGAUUGAAUUAAUCAAAAUGUUUACCAGAGCGAAGUCAUUGUCACAGCCAGGUCUCUUUGGAGCUGAAUCAUCGUCGUGAACUACGUCCCCUGCUAAGACAGGAUACGGAGAAGAUAAGAGCGAAAUCAGAGCAGCAAAACAGACCACCAAACUCAGCUUAUGCAGAUCCAUGGAGUCGUUCUUCAAGUUGUCUGCCUCUGCAUCACCGGAUUCAGAGACGACUGCUAGAAUGCAGAAAACUGCCUCGUUUAAAGUGGUAGUUAAAAUAUUAUUUUUAAUUUGGAACUGAUCGAGAUACCAGACGUUCACCCUUUGCCUGUCAAAUGUUUAUCAUUUGCGGUGACACGGUGUCGGGUUGGAUGUAUGGUUCGUAUGAACUGUUCAUACAACUCUGCGACAACAAAUUUGUUAUACAGAGAAAUAGUUUUUUUUUACGGGUAUACAUAGUUGUUUCAUCUGUGUUGAACCAAUAAACUGAAGACCUGGCCGAAAAGAUUCCAACGAUUCAAUAGAUCAGCCGAAAAUAUUCGAGCGAUUCAAUAGAUCGGCCGAACGAUUGAUCCAAUUCUAACAACACUGGUUAGAGCAAAUGAGGAGGUUGAUUGGCCACCCUACAUAGCAGGAUAAUCCAAGUAACUGGAAAAUUCAGUUGAAUAAUCAUGGUUACUGACUUAUAAAAUCAUAAUGUUUGUGCUGUCAGUACCAGGAAUGUAAUAAAAAGUACUUAGCAAUGCUAAUCAUUCCUUAAUUAUUCUCAGAGAGAUUGUUAAUAGCAGAUAACACAGAAGAACCUAUUUUCUCGAUGUAUUUUACAAUGAAUAACCGAAAGCCAAAUGAAGAUAGAUACAAGUCCUGCACUCUGCUACAAAAUCAAAAUGAAUACUGCUACCUCAUAGAGAAGUUGUAUAAACUAUAAAGGAUCACCCUAAGCAGCUUUUCUUCUUCAACGGCAGAUUCUUUGGCACUCCGUGCAGACCAAUAGGAUGCACAUAAAACAGUGCCAACAGCCAUCAACCACAGGAACACUUCGGAUAACUCAAUUAGUGGCCUAUCUGGAGAGUACAUCUGAACGGACACUGCAAAUAUGAAGAGAGAAGAGGAGUGUCACGGCUGUUGUGCUAGAAAUAUACUUUUUCAAUUAGGAAUACUGGACAAGAAAGACAAAAUGCGCACCUAGACCGUCAAAAUACAGUGAAAAGAAAACACAUAUUAGGAAAAAACAAGAGCUUUACCUGAUGCAUUGCUUGAUAGCAGUUUUUCCAAGAACACACCCGCAUCUUUAGGUAUCAUAACAACAGGUAUGCCUAUAUCUAAAUCUGUUUCAUCUGCGUCACAGACCAUCUCAUAAAGCUCUGACAAAAAGAAAGGAGAGCACCAGACAGUUAAAUAGAGAUAAAAAAGUACUGCAGAAAUCACAUCCUCCAUUCUGUAACAGCUACCAGAUGAAAAUAAUCGGCGAUAUGAAUCAACAUAUACUGCUGUACCACUCACCAU